This 107-nucleotide small nuclear RNA is filed under the name Dasypus novemcinctus (nine-banded armadillo). The record is from RNAcentral. Lineage: Eukaryota; Metazoa; Chordata; Mammalia; Cingulata; Dasypodidae.
GUGCUCGCUUCUGCAGCACAUAUACUAAAAUUGGAACGAUACAGAGAAGAUUAACAUGGCCCCUGCACAAGGAUGACACACAAAUUCAUGAAGCGUUCCAUAUUUUU